RNAcentral lists this ribosomal RNA (440 nucleotides) under uncultured bacterium. RNAcentral's name for it is "partial 16S ribosomal RNA". It matches the Rfam family "Bacterial small subunit ribosomal RNA", at positions 338 to 795 of the family's 1533-position model. The record is from RNAcentral.
CCUACGGGAGGCAGCAGUGGGGAAUAUUGCACAAUGGGGGGAACCCUGAUGCAGCAACGCCGCGUGGGUGAAGAAGUACUCCGGUAUGUAAAGCCCUGUCAGCAGGGAAGAAAAUGACGGUACCUGACCAAGAAGCCCCGGCUAACUACGUGCCAGCAGCCGCGGUAAUACGUAGGGGGCAAGCGUUAUCCGGAUUUACUGGGUGUAAAGGGAGCGUAGACGGCAAGGAAAGUCUGGAGUGAAAGCCCGGGGCCCAACCACGGGACUGCUUUGGAAACUGUGUUGCCGGAGUGCAGGAGGGGUAAGCGGAAUGCCUGGUGUAGCGGUGAAAUGCGUAGAUAUUAGGAGGAACACCGGUGGCGAAGGCGGCUUACUGGACUGUAACUGACGUUGAGGCUCGAAGGCGUGGGGAGCAAACAGGAUUAGAUACCCCAGUAGUC